RNAcentral lists this ribosomal RNA (804 nucleotides) under uncultured bacterium. RNAcentral describes it as "bacterial SSU rRNA". It matches the Rfam family "Bacterial small subunit ribosomal RNA", at positions 59 to 859 of the family's 1533-position model. The record is from RNAcentral.
AAGUCGAACGGCAGCACGGAGCUUGCUCUGGUGGCGAGUGGCGAACGGGUGAGUAAUAUAUCGGAACGUACCCAGGAGUGGGGGAUAACGUAGCGAAAGUUACGCUAAUACCGCAUACGUCCUAAGGGAGAAAGUGGGGGCUCGCAAGACCUCAUGCUCAUGGAGCGGCCGAUAUCUGAUUAGCUAGUUGGUAGGGUAAAAGCCUACCAAGGCAUCGAUCAGUAGCUGGUCUGAGAGGACGACCAGCCACACUGGAACUGAGACACGGUCCAGACUCCUACGGGAGGCAGCAGUGGGGAAUUUUGGACAAUGGGGGCAACCCUGAUCCAGCAAUGCCGCGUGAGUGAAGAAGGCCUUCGGGUUGUAAAGCUCUUUUGUCAGGGAAGAAAAGGGUCUGGCUAAUAUCUAGGCCUCAUGACGGUACCUGAAGAAUAAGCACCGGCUAACUACGUGCCAGCAGCCGCGGUAAUACGUAGGGUGCAAGCGUUAAUCGGAAUUACUGGGCGUAAAGCGUGCGCAGGCGGUUUUGUAAGACUGUCGUGAAAUCCCCGGGCUCAACCUGGGAAUGGCGAUGGUGACUGCAAGGCUAGAGUUUGGCAGAGGGGGGUAGAAUUCCACGUGUAGCAGUGAAAUGCGUAGAUAUGUGGAGGAACACCGAUGGCGAAGGCAGCCCCCUGGGUCAAAACUGACGCUCAUGCACGAAAGCGUGGGGAGCAAACAGGAUUAGAUACCCUGGUAGUCCACGCCCUAAACGAUGUCUACUAGUUGUCGGGUCUUAAUUGACUUGGUAACGCAGCUAACGCG